UGAAUAACCAAUAGAUUCAGAACUGAAUAACCAAUAGAUUCAGAACUGAAUAACCAAUAGAUUCAGAACUGAAUAACCAACAGAUUCAGAACUGAAUAACCAAUAGAUUCAGAACUGAAUAACCAAUAGAUUCAGAACUGAAUAACCAAUAGAUUCAGAACUGAAUAACCAAUAGAUUCAGAACUGAAUAACCAAUAGAUUCAGAACUGAAUAACCAAUAGAUUCAGAACUGAAUAACCAAUAGAUUCAGAACUGAAUAACCAAUAGAUUCAGAACUGAAUAACCAAUAGAUUCAGAACUGAAUAACCAACAGAUUCAGAACUGAAUAGACAGACCAUCAGAGUUCUUCAUGAUAUGUUCUGUUGAAUGCAUCAAUACAGGACAUCCCAUGAUCAGAUUUAAGGGAAUAUCAUAGUGUUUUACUGGAACAGUUUAAUACUGGACUGUUAAACACUGGACUGUGGAGCUUCAUCUGGGUUUUAUCUCUGCAUCAUUAUGUUUGUAGAGAAACAAACAGAAAGAGCUGUGCUUUUUAUUUCAAGAAAGUAUGACAGGUAUCUACAGCAUCUUAAGCAAAUAGAGAGUGAAAGAAAGAAGGAAGGAAAGAAAGAAGGAAGGAAGCAAAGAAGAUAAGAAGGAAGGAAGGAAAGAAGAUAAGAAGGAUGGAAGGAAAGAAGAUAAGAAGGAAGGAAAGAAAGAAAGAAGGAAGGAAAGAAGGAAGGAAAUAAGGAAGGAAAGAAGGAAAGAAAGAAGGAAGGAAGGAAAGGAAGGAAGCAAAGAAGAUAAGAAGAAAGGGAGGAAAGAAGAUAAGAAGGAAGGAAAGAAAGAAGGAAGGAAAGAAGGAAGGAAAGAAGGAAGGAAAGAAAGAAGGAAGGAAAGGGGAAUGGUAAAGCGUGAGAGAGAUGCCAGAGAGACUGCAGCCUGCAUGACCCCUCCUUGCUCGCUGCACGAAAACAAAUGACAUCAGAAAUUCUGCCAAUCAGCUGAUGUGGUGACUCAAGCGGUGGUAACCAAGCAGCGGCUCCAGGUUUCCUCCACAGCUACACACACACACACACACACACACACACACACACACACACACACACACACACACACACACACACACACACACACACACACACACACACACACACACACACCAGGUUUCCUUCCUCCAUUCCCAGCUCAUCAUGUAAACAACUCACACUACCAUGAAAGCCUAGAGAGAUACGGUACGUUAAUUAAAAUAAGACCAUUUAAUCCCAGAUAGUAACUAGAAUCCCAGAUAGUAACUAGAAUAGUAACUAGAAUCCCAGAUAGUAACUAGAAUCCCAGACAGUAACUAGAAUAGUAACUAGAAUCCCAGAUAGUAACUAGAAUCCCAGAUAGUAACUAGUAUCCCUGAUUGUAACUAGAAUCCCAGAUAGUAACUAGAAUAGUAACUAGAAUCCCUGAUAGUAACUAGAAUCCCUGAUAGUAACUAGAAUAGUAACUAGAAUCUCAGAUAGUAACUAGAAUAGUAACUAGAAUCCCAGAUAGUAACUAGAAUCCCUGAUAGUAACUAGAAUCCCUGAUUGUAACUAGAAUCCCUGAUAGUAACUAGAAUAGUAACUAGAAUCCCUGAUAGUAACUAGAAUCCCUGAUAGUAACUCCAGGCCUGAGCGUCUAAUAAACAGUGUACGACCCCAUAACCCCCUAAGCUGCAGUCGUACCAGUUCCAUAAAGACCCUUCUUCAUGUCUGAAGCGACAGCAGCUUGACUGAGGCAAACAACUACAUUGUGUAUCUUGUAGAUUUAUAAUUCAAGUCAAACCAUCCCAAUCCCUCUAAAUCAAGUGAUUUCACACACUGACACCUCAGGAUUACUCAGCUCCAGCCCUAUCAAAGGGAAUCUAUUUAGCUCAACCCAACAAUGUUAAAGGCAAUUAAUAAUGGGUGGCAGAGCUGGCCCUGUUAAACAUAAUUGGGUGUAAUUGAACUCCCUUCUACCAAAAGGACUAAAGGCAUGAACCAUGCCAUUACCCAUGACAACGUGAUGAGGUUUAGUUCACAUCGAACACCAUCUCCAGGUCAAUAAGCUGUUCACGGUCCCAGUCUUAUGACUUGGUGGAUGGUGGAUGAACGGCCUUUGGGCUAGGCAUUAUGAAUCCUACCCUGUUCUGUCAUGUGUAUAGAGAAAGACACACACACAGGCCUGUCUUUUAAACUCUGGCUUCUUUCACUGGGAUGAAGGGUUCUUAAUAGAAACCUAACGGGUGGGAGUACGGCUAUCAGGAAAGAGAGGAGGAAAGGUAGAGAGGAGAGGAGGAGAGUAGAAGAGAGAGAGAGAGAGAGAGAGAGAGAGAGAGAGAGAGAGAGAGAGAGAGAGAGAGACAGAGGGAGAGAGAGAGACAGAGGGAGAGAGAGAGACAGAGAGACAGAGGGAGAGAGAGACAGAGACAGAGAGAGAGAGAGAGAGAGAGAGAGAGAGAGAGAUAGAGAGAGAGAGAGAGACCACUGUGACUGACCCAAACUUAAGGAAAGCUUUGACUAUGUACAGACUCAGUGAGCAUAGCCUUGCUAUUGAGAAAGGCCGCCGUAGGCAGACAUGGCUCUCAAGAGAAGACAGGCUAUGUGCACACUGCCCACAAAAUGAGGUGGAAACCGAGCUGCACUUCCUAACCUCCUGCCCAAUGUAUGACCAUAUUAGAGACACAUAUUUCCCUCAGAUCACACAGAUCCACAAAGAAUUCGAAAACAAAUCCAAUUUUGAUAAACUCCCAUAUCUACUGGGUGAAAUACCACAAUGUGCAUCACAGCAGCAAGAUUUGUGACCUGUUGCCACAAGAAAAGGGCAACCAGUGAAGAACAAACACCAUUGUUAAUACAACCCAUAUUUAUGCUUAUUUAUUUUAACUUGUGUGCUUUAACCAUUUGUACAUUGUUACAACACUGUAUAUGUUUAAUAUGACACUCGUAAUGUCUUUAUUGUUUUGAAACUUCUGUAUGUGUAAUGUUUACUGUUAAUUCGUUUUGUUUGUUUCACUUUUGUGUAUUGUCUACCUCACUUGCUUUGGCAAUGUUAACACAUGUUUCCCAUGCCAAUAAAGCCCCUUGAAUUGAAUUGAAUUGAAUUGAGAGAGAGAGAGAGAGAGAGAGAGACAGAGAGAGAGAGAGAGAGAGAGACAGAGAGAGAGAGAGACAGAGACAGAGAGAGAGAGAGAGACAGAGGGAGAGAGAGACUAUUCCAUACAUAAGUUCGGUCUUACUAUGUGAUAAGUGCGUGUGUAACAGUAUAUUGUUGGAAGAUUCUGUUCUGACUUUCACAGGCUAGAGCUGGCAAUACUGACCAUUCAGAAGAAAGAGCCAAAAGGUGUCUGUGGUGUACGAUCGUCUGAAUCUGAUAUGGAAGACACAUCACAUCAGCAGAAAAUCCAAACGAGAGAGCUCGGUGUGGAUAUUUGCACACCGUCUAGCGUCAAGGGAACUCGCUGGAUCCCCCUAUGGGCACAGAGCCCUCAGUGUUCCUGAAGCCAUGGACAAGACAAGGACCACUGACGAAGGCCAGUACUCCGUGGUUCUGCAGCCCAUGGGGCACCUGGCCGUAGCAUCAACAACCGCCGGAAGUUCAAGGGCGGGAAAAGAAGGGGCUAACACUGAAGGGGAAUCUGAAAGGCUUCACGGACCUCACCAACCCCCAGCUGAAGCAGCACAUGGAGGCAGCCAUCAACAUGGGCGUGGACGAUCUCAAAGACGGGCUUGGUGGUUUGCUGAAGAAUGAGGAUGUCCAGACCCCAGUGGACUCUUUCAGAGUGCUAAACCCCUGACACAUGACCAGAAGACCAGGCCUUCUCACCUUUGGCGAUGAUGGUGUGGCAGGAACUGAUGAAGCAUUUCAAGGAGCCUCCAGAGAGAUCAGGGUGCAACACGGCUGUAAUCCAGGAUGAGUGGCAGGGGCUGAACAUCCUGGUCAGACACAAUCCAGGAUGAGUGACAGGGGCUGAACAUCCUGGUCAGACACAAUCCAGGAUGAGUGGCAGGGGCUGAACAUCCUGGUCAGACACAAUCCAGGAUGAGUGACAGGGGCUGAACAUCCUGGUCAGACACAAUCCAGGAUGAGUGACAGGGGCUGAACAUCCUGGUCAGACACAAUCCAGGAUGAGUGGCAGGGGCUGAACAUCCUGGUCAGACACAAUCCAGGAUGAGUGACAGGGGCUGAACAUCCUGGUCAGACACAAUCCAGGAUGAGUGGCAGGGGCUGAAAAUCCUGGUCAGACACAAUUUCAAGGACAAGUCCUACAGUGGCCUGUGGGAGACCAUGUUGACAAAGGACUCCUACAGGCACGAUUACAAGGUCGACUAACAGUGCAGAGUGGUUAUGUAUGGGUUGUUCGAUUCCCACGGGGGACCAGUACAAAAAAAGUAUGAAUGUAUGUACUUGUAAGUCGCUCUGGAUAAGAGCGUCUGCUAAAUGACUUAAAUGUAAAUGUAAAUGUAAUAAAGUUAAUGGUAAGAGUUUAAAUGAAAUGGAAAGAUAUCAUAUUUUCCCGAGAACAUACUGGAGUUGGUGCAGCUUAUGUUGGUGCUGCCCAUUACAGCCAACCCAGUGUGAGCGAGGCUUCUCUGCACAGAACCGGAUUUUAAGAAUUCAACAAGGUACUGCCUUGGGGUCUCCACCGCCGAAGACCUGAUGAGGAUCAGCCUGGAGGGGCCUCCUGUCGAGGAGUUGGAUCUCACUCCUGCCGUGGACAGCUGGCUGACCUCUAAGCCAGACGGCCAACAUACACAAGCAGCUGGACAUCUGAUAUCCUACGCGUCUAGUAGGCAAUGGUCAACGUGUGGUUUUGGUGGUAUGUGCUGUUGCACAGAUGUGUGUCCCUUAGUACCCACACACACUCACACACGCAGUAUAAAUAUGUUUGGAAUAAAUAGUUAGUUAAUAAACUCUGUGUUACUUGAACACUGUGCUCCUAAAUCUCUUUGUGUGCUCCUAAAUCGCUUUGUGUGCUCCUAAAUCUCUUUGUGUGCUCCUAAAUCUCUUUGUGUGCUCCUACAUCUCUUUGUGUGCUCCUACAUCUCUUUGUGUGCUCCUACAUCUCUUUGUGUGCUCCUAAAUAUCUUUGUGUGCUCCUAAAUAUCUUUGUGUGCUCCUCUUUGUGUGCUCCUACAUCUCUUUGUGUGCUCCUAAAUCUCUUUGUGUGCUCCUACAUCUCUUUGUGUGCUCCUAAAUCUCUUUGUGUGCUCCUACAUCUCUUUGUGUGCUCCUAAAUCUCUUUGUGUGCUCCUACAUCUCUUUGUGUGCUCCUAAAUCUCUUUGUGUGCUCCUAAAUCUCUUUGUGUGCUCCUAAAUCUCUUUGUGUGCUCCUACAUGUUUUUCAUUUAGGAGCACAUGUAACUCCUUGGGGGGAAAAGUUAGCGUAGUAGAACCCUGUAAUUGUAACGCUUCUCGUGGGCUGAAGCGUUUAAAGUGUUCAUAAUUUAAUCCAAAAACCAAAUCGAACAAAAACAACAAACAGGAGAAUGAAAGGGAAACAGUUCUGUCUGGUGCAGAAACACAAACAGAAAACAACUACCCACAAAACACAGGUGGGAAAAGGAUACCUAAGUAUGGUUCUCAAUCAGAGACAACGAUAGACAGCUGUCCCUGAUUGAGAACCACACCCGGCCAAACACACAGAAAUAGACAACAUAGAACACAAAAACAUAGAAUGCCCACCCCAAAUCACACCCUGACCAAACCAAAAUAGAGACAUAAAAAGGAUCUCUAAAUUCAGGGCGUGACAGUAAUGUAUCUUUACAUUUACUCAAGUAUGACAACGUAGUACUUUUUCCCCCACUGGAUGUGACUGGGGGUCACAGCAUCAAUAUAAUUUAUUUUAUUUAUUUCACAUGACCCAUCAAUUUAGACCAGUGUGUCUGGGGUCAACAUCAUCUAAUAUGUAUACAGUAUCUUUAUCUGGACACCACUUUUAGUCUUGAUAUUUACUACACUACUCACCCUGUUUAGCACAUGGCCUCACAUGUGAAUCCUGAAAAGAGAUGGGUGGGGCUUAAGGCUUAAGAGGGUGUGAACGAUGCUGAAUGGUCUGUAGACAAAGAACAGCUCUCCAGUAGUAGUAAGUACCAAGACAUUCAAGGGCCAUUUUCUCAAAAAGUGGAGUUACACAUUUAUCAACUUUCAAAGCAGAAUUACUGUCUCAUUGUUCCUCAACAGCAAUGUAUAAUCUACCAUUUUGUAGCUCUGAGUCUCUACUUUUAUCCAAUGUUAAAACAAAUAAAAAAUUCAAAUUGUUCUA
Molecule: long non-coding RNA, 6256 nt
Organism: Salvelinus fontinalis (brook trout)
Lineage: Eukaryota; Metazoa; Chordata; Actinopteri; Salmoniformes; Salmonidae
Exons: 3
Source: RefSeq, a predicted model, not a curated record